GACGAACGCUGGCGGCGUGCUUAACACAUGCAAGUCGAACGGAAAGGCCCUGCUUUUGUGGGGUGCUCGAGUGGCGAACGGGUGAGUAACACGUGAGUAACCUGCCCUUGACUUUGGGAUAACUUCAGGAAACUGGGGCUAAUACCGGAUAGGAGCUCCUGCUGCAUGGUGGGGGUUGGAAAGUUUCGGCGGUUGGGGAUGGACUCGCGGAUUAUCAGCUUGUUGGUGGGGUAGUGGCUUACCAAGGCUUUGACGGGUAGCCGGCCUGGGAGGGUGACCGGCCACAGUGGGACUGAGAUACGGCCCCGACUCCUACGGGUGGCAGCAGUGGCGGAUAUGGCACAAUGGGCGGAAGCCUGAUGCAGCAACGCCGCGUGCGGGAUGGCGGCCUUCGGGUUGUAAUCCGCUUUCGCCUUUGACGGAGCGUGAGUGACGGUAAUGGGUAGAGAAGCACCGGCUAACUACGUG
Molecule: ribosomal RNA, 468 nt
Filed under: uncultured bacterium
Lineage: Bacteria
Description: partial 16S ribosomal RNA
Rfam family: Bacterial small subunit ribosomal RNA
Source: RNAcentral